This 348-nucleotide ribosomal RNA is filed under the name uncultured soil bacterium. RNAcentral's name for it is "bacterial SSU rRNA". It matches the Rfam family "Bacterial small subunit ribosomal RNA", at positions 26 to 374 of the family's 1533-position model. The record is from RNAcentral.
AGAUUGAACGCUGGCGGCAUGCCUUACACAUGCAAGUCGAACGCGAAAGGGGGAGCAAUCCCCCAAGUAGAGUGGCGAACGGGUGAGUAAUACAUCGGAACGUGUCCAGUAGCGGGGGAUAACCUCUCGAAAGAGAGGCUAAUACCGCAUACGACCUACGGGUGAAAGGAGGGGGAUCGCAAGACCUCUCACUAGUUGGAGCGGCCGAUGUCGGAUUAGCUAGGUUGGACGGGUAAAAGCCCACCAAGGGCGACGAUCCGUAGCUGGUCUGAGAGGACGACCACGCCACACGUGGAACUGGAGACACGGUCAGCUCCGUACGGGACGGCAGCGAGGUACGGGUAAUUU